This 403-nucleotide long non-coding RNA is filed under the name Nicotiana benthamiana. Its description in RNAcentral is "long non-coding RNA (NBEN_LNC013401)". Lineage: Eukaryota; Viridiplantae; Streptophyta; Magnoliopsida; Solanales; Solanaceae. The record is from RNAcentral.
AAAACCAUGGCCCAUCAUUGGCAAUUUGAACCUACUUGGUCCUAUUCCACAUCAAUCUUUUGACUUGCUUUCCAAAAAAUAUGGAGAGUUGAUGCUGCUGAAAUUUGGCUCCAAGCCAGUUCUUGUUGCUUCAUCUGCUGAAAUGGCAAAACAGUUGUUAAAAAUACAUGAUGCCAAUUUCGCCUCUCGUCCUAUGCUAGCCGGUGGGAAGUAUACAAGCUAUAGAAUUCUCAUUAGUUAAUUUUCUUUUGUUUAAAAAUCCAUGAUGCCAAUUUCGCCUCUCGUCCUAUGCUAGCCGGUGGGAAGUAUACAAGCUAUAAUUAUUGUGACAUGACAUGGGCACCCUAUGGUCCCUAUUGGCGCCAAGCACGACGAAUUUACCUCAACGAGAUAUUUACUCCAA